AACGAACGCUGGCGGCAGGCUUAACACAUGCAAGUCUAACGCAUGCCUUCGGGCAUGAGUGGCAGACGGGUGAGUAACGCGUGGGAACCUACCCCUUGGUACGGGAUAGCUCCGGGAAACUGGAGAUAAUACCGUAUGUGUCCUGAGGGACAAAGAUUCAUCGCCAAGGGAUGGGCCCGCGUCGGAUUAGCUAGUUGGUGGGGUAACGGCCUACCAAGGCGACGAUCCGUAGCUGGUCUAAGAGGAUGAUCAGCCACAUUGGGACUGAGACACGGCCCAAACUCCUACGGGAGGCAGCAGUGGGGAAUAUUGGACAAUGGGCGCAAGCCUGAUCCAGCCAUGCCGCGUGAGUGAUGAAGGCCCUAGGGUUGUAAAGCUCUUUCACCGGUGACGAUAAUGACGGUAACCGGAGAAGAAGCCCCGGCUAACUUCGUG
RNAcentral lists this ribosomal RNA (435 nucleotides) under uncultured bacterium. RNAcentral's name for it is "partial 16S ribosomal RNA". It matches the Rfam family "Bacterial small subunit ribosomal RNA", at positions 29 to 507 of the family's 1533-position model. The record is from RNAcentral.